AGAAGUCCCGGAGAUCUUUGGAUCUCCUCUCCAAGUUUGCAACUUGGUGUG
RNAcentral lists this transfer RNA (51 nucleotides) under Gerrhonotus parvus. RNAcentral describes it as "partial tRNA-Cys". Lineage: Eukaryota; Metazoa; Chordata; Lepidosauria; Squamata; Anguidae. The record is from RNAcentral.